GCCCUUCAGCAGCCGCGGUAAUACGUAGGGUCCAAGCGUUAAUCGGAAUUACUGGGCGUAAAGCGUGCGCAGGCGGUUGUGCAAGACCGAUGUGAAAUCCCCGAGCUUAACUUGGGAAUUGCAUUGGUGACUGCACGGCUAGAGUGUGUCAGAGGGGGGUAGAAUUCCACGUGUAGCAGUGAAAUGCGUAGAGAUGUGGAGGAAUACCGAUGGCGAAGGCAGCCCCCUGGGAUAACACUGACGCUCAUGCACGAAAGCGUGGGGAGCAAACAGGAUUAGAUACCCUGGUAGUCCACGCCCUAAACGAUGUCAACUAGUUGUUGGGGAUUCAUUUCCUUAGUAACGUAGCUAACGCGUGAAGUUGACCGCCUGGGGAGUACGGUCGCAAGAUUAAAACUCAAAGGAAUUGACGGAAGGGC
RNAcentral lists this ribosomal RNA (419 nucleotides) under uncultured bacterium. RNAcentral's name for it is "bacterial SSU rRNA". It matches the Rfam family "Bacterial small subunit ribosomal RNA", at positions 503 to 922 of the family's 1533-position model. The record is from RNAcentral.